RNAcentral lists this ribosomal RNA (468 nucleotides) under uncultured bacterium. RNAcentral describes it as "partial 16S ribosomal RNA". It matches the Rfam family "Bacterial small subunit ribosomal RNA", at positions 28 to 507 of the family's 1533-position model. The record is from RNAcentral.
GACGAACGCUGGCGGCGUGCUUAACACAUGCAAGUCGAACGGAAAGGCCCUUCUUUUUUGGUGUGCUCGAGUGGCGAACGGGUGAGUAACACUUGAGUAACCUGCCCUUGACUUUGGGAUAACUUCAGGAAACUGGGGCUAAUACCGGAUAGGAGCUCCUGCUGCAUGGUUGGGGUGGGAAAGUUUGGGCGGUUGGGGGUGGACUCGGGGCGUAUCAGCUUGUUGGUGUGGUCGUGGAUUACCAAGGCUUUGACGGGUAGCCGGCCCGAGAGGGUGACUGGCCACAUUGGGACAGAGCUACGGGCCAGAGUACUACGGGAGGCAGCAGUGGGGAAGAGUGCCCGAUGGGCGGAAGCCUGAUGCAGCAACGCCGCCUGAGGGAUGAUGGACUUCGGGUUGGAGACCGCUUACGCCUGUGACGAAGCGUGAGUGAAGGUAAUGGGUAAAGAAGCACCGGCUAACUACGUG